Molecule: transfer RNA, 89 nt
Filed under: uncultured Pseudodesulfovibrio sp.
Lineage: Bacteria; Pseudomonadati; Thermodesulfobacteriota; Desulfovibrionia; Desulfovibrionales; Desulfovibrionaceae
Description: Selenocysteine transfer RNA
Rfam family: Selenocysteine transfer RNA
Source: RNAcentral
GGAGCGUUUCGUCACCGGUGUGGCGCCUGGACUUCAAAUCCAGUGGGCGGGUUAACACUCGCCGGUAGGUUCGACUCCUAUACGCUUCC